Molecule: ribosomal RNA, 773 nt
Filed under: uncultured Neocallimastigales
Lineage: Eukaryota; Fungi; Neocallimastigomycota; Neocallimastigomycetes; Neocallimastigales
Description: partial large subunit ribosomal RNA
Rfam family: Eukaryotic large subunit ribosomal RNA
Source: RNAcentral
CGCAUCUGUGCAUGCAGCAUAUCAAUAAGCGGAGGAAAAGAAACUAACAAGGAUUCCCCUAGUAACGGCGAGUGAAGCGGGAAGAGCUCAAAUUUGAAAUCUUAAAGGGUUUCCCUUUACGAAUUGUAGUUUAAAGAAGUGUUUUCUGUUGAGGUUUUGGUAAAAGUUCUUUGGAAUAGGACAUCAUAGAGGGUGAGAAUCCCGUAUUUGACCUUUACUUUCAACUUUGUGAUACACUUUCAAAGAGUCGGAUUGUUUGGGAAUGCAGUCCAAAAUGGGUGGUAAAUUUCAUCUAAAGCUAAAUAUUGGCGAGAGACCGAUAGCGAACAAGUACCGUGAGGGAAAGAUGAAAAGAACUUUGAAAAGAGAGUUAAACAGUACGUGAAAUUGUCAAAAGGGAAGCGUUUGACACCAGUGUUGUUUUUCUGAAAAUCAAUUAAAGAACUGUUUAUGCUAAGCUGUUUAGACUUUAUCAGCUACUGUUUAGUUUUGAGCUUUUCUUUAAUGCACUUUUCAGUUAACAAGUCAACAUCAAUUUCUUUUGCUGUAAAAAAGCUUGAGGAAGGUGGCUUGAGAUUCGUCUUAAGUGCUUAUAGCCUCUUGCCUAUGCAGUCGGAGAGAUUGAGGUCUGCAGCGUAGAUCCUUCGGGGCCAAAUGCAUUUGUGCUAAGUUAUAGCAUUUUAUAGACAACUUGUUGACUAUGAUUUGUCUUGUAGCUUACUCGCUUAUGUUAUUUUACCUACGCUUAGGAUGUUGAACGCGCACAGAGUCUC